GCAAUUUGAGCACCUUCCUGCAAUCAAACAGGAAUCAAAUUCCUCUCCUGUCUCCGUGGGAGAGGGCUGUCUGUGCUCCAUUCAAACCCCACCAGACGCUGAGACCCGAGGUCAGGCUGGCAGGGGGCUGCCUGAUGGUUGCUGUACUCAUGUGGGUGUCUGCAUUUUGGUAAUGACUGAGAGCUCAAUUGCUCCUCUAGGUCAGCUGCUCCACUUUUAGGAGGAAUGAGUUUCCUACUCAUUCCCUGUUUGGGUUCAUGGCCUCGCUGGUUCCUGGAUAUCCAGGAGUACUGCAGCUGCUUUGUUCAUAGCAGAAAUGGAGGAGGCGGAUUCCCCCUCUACAGGACUAACACACCCAAAUCUGACUGCAAGGCGGAGGAUGUGCAAGCGCCCUGCAUGAGAGCAUCACCAGUUCCUUACUGUGAAUUCACCCAUAACAGCAAGCACAAAACCACGCCGCCUGCCCUCAGCCACGGGGCUGCACACCGCAGAGCCCCUCGCCAUCUGCACGCACCGCUUUGCCCCCAGCCCUGCGCCCGCAGCACCGCUCACGUGCGGCCGUCAGCUGAUGGGGAGGAUGACUCAGCCGGCAGCUGUCGGGCCCCUAAAAUAAUGACAAAAACAAUUAGCAGUCCAAGCAGUAGCCUCUCCUUAAUUAUCUCCUCCGAGUUUAAUUAACUAGCUAAAUUAUCAGCAGUAAUGUAGGCAUUAAUUAUGUCAAAUUACAGUGUAAAAAUCACAAAGUGUGGAAAAUGUCAAUUCAGCUGAGCUCACCUGCCGGGCUGAGACAGCGCCGGUGACAGAGGCUCAGCCCAGCACAGGGCAGGGGCUGCUCUGCUCUUCGGGCUGUGGGACCCACAUGGCUCCACGGCCACACCAGGGGAUGGCAAUGGCAGAGAUGGUGCUGCAUUUUGGGUGGGGGAACACUGGAGAGCGGUGAGGCUGCAGCAGUUUGGCUUCGGCAGAGGGAGGGGAAG
RNAcentral lists this long non-coding RNA (977 nucleotides) under Chrysolophus pictus (golden pheasant). RNAcentral's name for it is "lncRNA (ENSCPIG00010010726.1)". The record is from RNAcentral. Lineage: Eukaryota; Metazoa; Chordata; Aves; Galliformes; Phasianidae.